UUGUCCCACCCUGCCCGUGGGGUGCUGACCACCCAUGGGACUUCGCGUGGUCCCUGGGGUGCCGGCGGGGCGCUGAGCAGCUGCCCCUGUGCUGCAGGCAGCUCUUUGAUCCAGUGAAGUGCAUCUCCUCUGACAGGCCCCUGGCCCUGGCCCCAGCGCCGUGAGUAGUGUGCAGCCCCCCCCAGGACAGACCCCCCCGCUGCAUUUCCACUAGAGACCACUGCCUGACUUUGCCUUCACAACCUCAUCUGCAGGCACCUGGUGACCAUCCGAAAGGCCAACCAGCUCCUCCAGCCCCAUCCAGCCAGCGCCGGCGGCUCCAACUGCCUGGCACAGCGGCUAGCGGGGAGGUGAGCCUUGCCAGGGAGAAGUGGGUAUUUUGGGCAUCAAUGGGAUCGUCCACAAAGGCAGGCUGAGCUCGCAGGCUGCCAACAGGACUGUCGCUGUGGACGCGGACUUCCCAGGUAAGGGAGCAGCCCCGGGGGCACCACGUUAGCUCCAGCCAGGCUGCACAGCCACCUGAAAUGGCAUGUCCCACCGUCAGUGCCUGGGACGGCCCAGAGCCCCACUGGGGCCGAGCCAUCAGCAGCCUUACAUCGCCCUGUGCUAACAGCGUCUCUGUUUCUCACCCCAAAGCAACAAAGACCCCCCAGCCCCGCUCCCGGCACGCUGCAGGAAAGAUGUGCCGUGUCCCCAAGUACGGCAGCCGCUGCAUGUCCCCAUACUCAUGUGCUGCCAUGCGGACAAAGACAGGCUCCGCAGGGGACCAGUGGCAGGCUGCCACGGGUGGCAGCAGGACGUCAGGUGUCUGAACUGGCCAGGGGGCUGGGAAAUGGCGCGGGGAUCUGGAGGGGGGGGGUGGGCAGGCGCACCAGGGCUGUGCUGCCUGCCUUCAGGGACUGGCAGAGUGGGAGUCCCACUGCCCCGACAGCCGCUCGUUGCAGUGGGGUAACACCGCGGGCCAUAAAGAUGCUCCCUCCUCUGCCGCCUCUCCUGCGCAGGCCCUGGGCUCGAGGGGCUGCAUGGGGCGUCCCCGGGGACUCGGCGAGCAGAGCCUGACGCUUUUGGGCUGUGCCAUGUCCCUGCGAGCUCUCUCUGACCAGUCAGAUGUUCAGGUCUGUGGUCUGGCCCUGGAUUUUCCAAUCCCAUGGGUCCUGGUGGCCCUGGGACAGUCACACGCAGGCUCCCCUUGCUACCACCCAGGUCUCCAUGUGGCUUCAACCACGUUUCACAGGCAGGUGCCUCCCUCCAAGGUUGAGGACAGAUCCCUUCUCCGUCUCCCCUGGGUGGGCUCUGUACUGCACACCCACUGCCUCGCAGACCAUCCCCACUCCCAGCAGGACUCCACGCUGGCCUUGAUGUGCUCAGGCCACCACAGUUGGAACACAAGGCCCCACGGCCCUGGCUCGCUGGAGAUGCCACCAGCUUGGUUCAGUCCACUUCGGUGGGGCAGGACCGAGGCACACAACUCCAACACAACCCCACGCAGGGAAGCUCACAAGCGCCAGCUCCAGCCCUUGCUCCCAGCCUCUGCUGAGGCUGUACAAGAGGCAGCCUGAGUGAAACCACCACUCCUACCAUGUUUAUUUUAGCAACACAAGUAAGAGAAUGAAAUUAAUUAUUGACUGGUGAGCACAGG
Molecule: long non-coding RNA, 1639 nt
Organism: Aquila chrysaetos chrysaetos
Lineage: Eukaryota; Metazoa; Chordata; Aves; Accipitriformes; Accipitridae
Exons: 3
Source: RefSeq, a predicted model, not a curated record